GCAAACUUGGUCAUUUAGAGGAAGUAAAAGUCGUAACAAGGUAACCGUAGGUGAACCUGCGGUUGGAUCAUUAACAAAAUUAGACAAGUUUGUCCAAAAGACAGGCUUUUCUCAACCCUUGUGAACUGUUUAUUGUCUCUGGUGGGUUCUUUAGUGGGACCCACCGAUACUAUUUUGAACCUUGUAGAAUCAUUUGUCUUAAUAAAGUUGAAAUUUUAAUUAAAACAACUUUUGGCAACGGAUCUCUAGGCUCUCGCAUCGAUGAAGAACGCAGC
Molecule: unclassified non-coding RNA, 275 nt
Filed under: uncultured fungus
Lineage: Eukaryota; Fungi
Description: partial contains small subunit ribosomal RNA, internal transcribed spacer 1, and 5.8S ribosomal RNA
Rfam family: Eukaryotic small subunit ribosomal RNA (bases 1-73)
Source: RNAcentral